RNAcentral lists this ribosomal RNA (395 nucleotides) under uncultured eukaryote. Its description in RNAcentral is "SSU rRNA". It matches the Rfam family "Eukaryotic small subunit ribosomal RNA", at positions 610 to 1011 of the family's 1831-position model. The record is from RNAcentral.
UUGUUGCAGUUAAAAAGCUCGUAGUUGAACCUUGGGUCUGGCUGGCCGGUCCGCCUCACCGCGAGUACUGUCCGGCUGGACCUUUCCUUCUGGGGAACCUCAUGGCCUUCACUGGCUGUGGGGGGAACCAGGACUUUUACUGUGAAAAAAUUAGAGUGUUCAAAGCAGGCCUUUGCUCGAAUACAUUAGCAUGGAAUAAUAGAAUAGGACGUGCGGUUCUAUUUUGUUGGUUUCUAGGACCGCCGUAAUGAUUAAUAGGGAUAGUCGGGGGCGUCAGUAUUCAGCUGUCAGAGGUGAAAUUCUUGGAUUUGCUGAAAACUAACUACUGCGAAAGCAUUCGCCAAGGAUGUUUUCAUUAAUCAGGGAACGAAAGUUAGGGGAUCGAAGACGAUCAG